GUCUACGGCCAUACCACCCUGAACAUGCCCGAUCUCGUCUGAUCUCGGAAGCUAAGCAGGGUCUGGCCUGGUUAGUACUUGGAUGGGAGAAAAUUAGUGACCUAGCUU
Molecule: ribosomal RNA, 108 nt
Organism: Erinaceus europaeus (western European hedgehog)
Lineage: Eukaryota; Metazoa; Chordata; Mammalia; Eulipotyphla; Erinaceidae
Source: Ensembl